GCGGCUACGGCCGCGAAGUGGGUGAUGUCAAGCUUCCAAGAAAAGCCCUAUACCCGUUAAGGCAUGAUGGCCUGUACCCGAAACCGACACAGGUGGGGUGGUAGAGAAUACCGAGGGGCGCGAGGUAACUCUCUCUAAGGAACUCGGCAAAAUGGCCCCGUAACUUCGGGAGAAGGGGUGCCACCGCAAGGUGGUCGCAGUGAAGAGGCCCAGGCGACUGUUUACCAAAAACACAGGUCUCCGCUAAGUCGCAAGACGAUGUAUGGGGGCUGACGCCUGCCCAGUGCCGGAAGGUUAAGGAAGCUGGUCAGCGCAAGCGAAGCUGGCGACUGAAGCCCCGGUGAACGGCGGCCGUAACAAUAACGGUCCUAAGGUAGCGAAAUUCCUUGUCGGGUAAGUUCCGACCCGCACGAAAGGCGUAACGAUCUGGGCGCUGUCUCGGAGAGAGGCUCGGCGAAAUAGAAUUGUCUGUGAAGAUGCGGACUACGUGCACCCGGACAGAAAGACCCUAUGAAGCUUUACUGUAGCUUGGUAUUGUGCCCGGGCUCUGAAUGCGCAGGAUAGGUGGGAGGCUUUGAUCCAUGGCUUGCGGGUCAUGGUGAGCCAACGGUGAGAUACCACUCUUUCAGAGCUAGGGUUCUAACGGUCACCCGUCAUCCGGGGACCGGACAGUAUCAGGUGGGCAGUUUGACUGGGGCGGUCGCCUCCUAAAAGGUAACGGAGGCGCGCAAAGGUUUGCUCAGGCUGGUUGGAAAUCAGCCGACGAGUGCAAAAGCAGAAGCAAGCUUGACUGUGAGACCUACAAGUCGAACAGGGACGAAAGUCGGCUUUAGUGAUCCGACGGUUCUGAGUGGAAGGGCCGUCGCUCAACGGAUAAAAGUUACUCUAGGAUAACAGGCUGAUCUCCCCCAAGAGUUCACAUCGACGGGGAGGUUUGACACCUCGAUGUCGGCUCAUCGCAACCUGGGGCUGAAGUCGGUCCCAAGGGUUGGGCUGUUCGCCCAUUAAAGCGGUACGCGAGCUGGGUUCAGAACGUCGUGAGACAGUUCGGUCCAUAUCCGGUGCACGCGCAGGAACAUUGAGAGGAUUUCUCCCUAGUACGAGAGGACCGGGAGGAACGCACCUCUGGUGUGCCAGUUAUCGUGCCAACGGUAAACGCUGGGUAGCCAUGUGCGGAGUGGAUAACCGCUGAAAGCAUCUAAGUGGGAAGCCCACCUCAAGAUGAGUGUUCCCAUGGCAUAAGCCAGUAAGGUCACGGGAAGAACACCCGUUGAUAGGCUCUACGUGGAAGCCGGGUAACCGGUGAAGCGGAGGAGUACUAAUAGACCGAGGGCUUGAC
Molecule: ribosomal RNA, 1339 nt
Filed under: metagenome
Description: bacterial LSU rRNA
Rfam family: Bacterial large subunit ribosomal RNA
Source: RNAcentral